RNAcentral lists this non-coding RNA (23 nucleotides) under Cricetulus griseus (Chinese hamster). Lineage: Eukaryota; Metazoa; Chordata; Mammalia; Rodentia; Cricetidae. The record is from RNAcentral.
AGAGGACUGUCACUGUGGACACC